This 1528-nucleotide long non-coding RNA is filed under the name Junco hyemalis (dark-eyed junco). Its description in RNAcentral is "lncRNA (ENSJHYG00000015403.1)". The record is from RNAcentral. Lineage: Eukaryota; Metazoa; Chordata; Aves; Passeriformes; Passerellidae.
AAACUACAUGACAAAUGUUAUGGAGUUCAGUCUUUCAGAAGUUAUCAACAGUUUAAUAAAUAACAGACCCUCUCCUGCCAUGUCUUCUUAUUGCUUGUUGCUGAAGAAACUGCUCAGGUACCAAAAAGACUGCAAAAGAGUUCAGAGAGAACAUGAAGCAGAAAAACACAGUAUUAGUCCUGAUGAACAGCUGAAUAAGGAGUCAGAAACUAAGAUUUCCCCAAAGGCUGAAAUGGACACUCUGGAAAACCUCAGAAAUUAUGGCAAUAGGGCAUUUCCUACUGUACUAACCCUGGCAGUGCCAAAUGCCGUUCAAGAAGAUGAGAUCACAAUUGCAUUGGAAAACCAGGAAAACUUGUCAAAAGUUUCCAAGUUUGCAGGCAGAGAGUUGGUCUGCUGUGAGCCUCCUAAGUCACCAAGAAAAAGUAUGCCAUGUGAGCCCAUUUAUCAACCACUUUUGGAAUCUCAGAAGAAUCAGAACGGCUUUGAAGACUUGACAGAGACCAGAAAACCAUGUCUUCAUGAGAAAUCCCCAUCCACACCAGCAAAUAAGAAAUCUCCCUUUUCAAACAUCCAAGCAAUGCCAAGUACAGGCAAAGUACCUCCACGGUCCCUGGUGAAAAAUAGAAUUAUUAGCAGAAGUCCUUUGCCUGGUCAGGACAUGAGGUUUAAAGACCUUCUGAAGGCAGUGUAUGACAAUAUUCACACCCCAACACAGAGGAAAUUUAAUAAAGAUGAUGCUGACCUCCUCAUGAUUGACUCUCCCCAGUUCUCACCUUUCCCCAGGCUGCAACAAGCUGCCCUAAGAGAAACCCUUCCUAGAAAGAUUUCCUUGCAGGGGGCAGCACAGGAACAUACAGAUAUCUGCCCUCUUGUUAUAGUCAAUGGGUCAAAACCACCAGCUUUCCCCAUGGCCCAGCAGCAAACGUUUACCAUAAGAGGUAUGAGGCAGUUUAAAGAAAACCCGACUCACUUUUUCAAUAAGAAAACUAAGAAAAACUUUAUUCAGCUCAGACACAUGCCUGCAACUACAGAUGUAAAUCUUCCAGUUUUAUGCCCACCAUACCAAACCAGGUCAGGUAAAAAAACAGAGACUCUAAGAUUAAAUUUUGCAUAAAUAAAACACCCACAAAGCAUCAGAAGAAAAAAAUUUUGAAGAAGCAAGUAAGAAACAAAGGUGGACAAGAAAGAGAAAGCAAGAAAAGGAAGAUCAGAGAGAUGAAUUCAAUAUUAAAAUGAGAAUCCUCCAAAUACAGAAGAAUUAUAUGAUUUAAGCUGCAUAUCCUCUGAUAUUGACCAAACACCAUGCUACAAAUUUUGUGGACCACACCAAAGAAUCAGAAAAGCAGAUGCCACUGUAACAGGAUAACAUCAUGUAUAUUUAGGCAUAAAAGUGGACACUGAGGGCAGAAGAUGUGAUUUAAAAUAUUUUGCACCAAUACAAAUAUUGUCCUAAACUUGUGUUACUUGUACUUCUGCAUUUCAUCAGGAAAAUAAACCCAGGCAGACAAUUUUUAUUAAGCUGUGA